Molecule: long non-coding RNA, 1139 nt
Filed under: Dermacentor andersoni
Lineage: Eukaryota; Metazoa; Arthropoda; Arachnida; Ixodida; Ixodidae
Description: uncharacterized LOC126544919
Source: RNAcentral
CCUUAAAAUGACCUCUGUCAAUUUUUAAUCAAAUAUUGAUCAGGAACUACAGAAUUUUCGACUACAGGGCGUCACACUACAGAGAACAGAACGACAGUCACAACGUCCCAAAAUACGACAGACUGAAAAUUUGCUGUUGUGUUUUUCAAGUGGGUGAGACGUCUAUACGGCGUAUACGCAGAUUGCUGUCCUCUCUAUUAAAAGCAACGUUGCUGAAACACGUCGUACAAGACGCUGUACGACUCGCAUAACAUCGAAAUACAACGCCGUCACCAUCCAUGAGAUCACCGAAAGCACGGUCACUUUCGGUGGCGGCCUACAGAUGGCAGCACAGGUAGCGCCGGUAAAGUUACAGGUGAUAUUAUUUUGCCGUCCUCAGUUGUCGCCACAUGUGAGUGCUUGCUGCAUUGACGCCGUCCGAUGUAGUUGUUUAAUCGUGUGUACGCUGUGCCGAGAGAAAUUGUGGUGCAUUUUGUAUGCAUUGAGAAUCACAAAACCCCUGGGACCGCGUAAUGUAGCCCGCAGUAUCCUUCGUGUGGUGCGCCGAUGUCGAAGAUAUGACCCUUCGCGCUUCCUUUGUUCCGGGCUCAUGAACAGGAUCUCCUCCUCUGGCACUGUCGCAUCGUAUCGCGCUGUACGGAAGAAUUUGGUGAAAGUUGUGCUCUUACGUCCUGUAGUUGAUCCGCAAUUCAACAGUGUGUGCGCCGGAAGGACCGUUGGUGCAGUCGAUGCCGCGGCACCUGUGACGCUAAAAGGAGCGUUUUCCGAGUACGCCUAGAAAGGGAUGGCAAGAUUUUGUGAACCAGAGGCACCUCCACAUAUGCACCUGCGGCACUUCUGCAGCCUCAACAGCACGGAAAAGUACCUGAUGUGCAUGCUGUGACAAGCUGCUGUAGGUAUGGCUGGACCUGGAGAAGUGUAAGCAGACCAUGCUAUGUUGCUGAUCUGCGCUGAUCUCCACAUCCAAGUUGGUCCCGCGACAGUUGGGCACCAUUGUGCCUUGCUUCAUUGACAAGGUGAUAUAAUAUGGUGCCCUGCUCGCUCUCACCCAAGCAACCCACUCCAGCGGUCUUCUCUCGGCAGACUGGAUGCAUCGAAAUACCGUUAGAAGGUCCAAUAAACAGUGCUUGGGACAUUUA